Musa acuminata AAA Group (dessert banana) is the source of this 1049-nucleotide long non-coding RNA. RefSeq lists it as uncharacterized. The transcript is spliced from 2 exons. The record is from RefSeq and is a predicted model, not a curated record. NCBI's taxonomy places the organism in Eukaryota, Viridiplantae, Streptophyta, Magnoliopsida, Zingiberales, Musaceae.
CCAACAGACCUACAAUAGGCAGCAGCAGAAGCAGCCAAGGUAAGAUAUCAACAUCGCAUGUGUUUCUUUGAGGCACAUCUCUCACCACCAUGCCUCUCCCAACCCUUAUGACGAGCCUUCUGUCUUUCUCCUUCGCUCCUCUUGUGUCCCUGUCUCAUAUCUAAGGAAAAGAGAAUGAGAGAACGCAUGUGCACUGAUUUCACAUGUCAUUCUCCUUUCAGUGUUCUUGGCACGGAUUUAAAGAGAAAAUCCAUUCUAGGAGGGGUGGAAUGACAAGGAGUUAUUGAUUUCUCGGUGCAGAAAGAGAUUACAACAAAGGCAAUUUGUGAUCCUGUUUUUGGAAACAAACCGCCUUCGCAGCACCCUUUCAAACCCUGAGCUUGGUGUGAGUUCGCCAUAAUCCCAAUCUCAGAAAAGAAGGGUGUCGUCUUUCAGCAAAACCUGUUCACUUCACGGAUCUGGGAGGAAUUCAAACAGGACAGCUUUGUGAUAUAAGGCUGUGCUAAGUGGCUAUUAGACCUCAAAUUUAAAUGAGCAGGAAUUCUAUGAAAGCAUCUACUUAUCUGAAAGAAGAUUGGAGUUCCAGGAAGCUUGUCGAGAAGAUGCUGUAAUCAAACCUUUAAAUGCAUUUCGAGUUACUGAGCUAUCAGUCGAGUAUACCAAGCAAUCAGACUGACACAAGCUUGCUGGGUUGGUUCCAUGGAGGGCAGAAUGAGGAGGAAGAAACUGGAAAGUGGUGCAAUUAUUGGGCACAAGAGAACUCUAGCGCAUGAGCCGGACCAAAGAGCUACUCCGACAGUCUAUUUCAGCAUGGAAUCGUUUCUGCUGCUUCUCUUCCUCACUGCAUCACUGCUGAUACUCCCACUUGUACUGCCACCAUUGCCACCUCCCCCUUCCAUGCUGCUUCUGCUUCCCAUUGGCCUUCUCCUUGUGCUUUUGAUACUGGCUUUUAUGCCUUCAGAUGCACGAAAUAUCACAUCCUCCUACCUGUAAAUAUCUUGUGAGCUUUCCUUUUGCAAAUCAUGAGUGAGUACAUCUUCUUUCCUUUA